Long non-coding RNA from Centrocercus urophasianus (Greater sage-grouse), 2204 nucleotides. RefSeq lists it as uncharacterized. The record is from RefSeq and is a predicted model, not a curated record. The transcript has 10 exons. NCBI's taxonomy places the organism in Eukaryota, Metazoa, Chordata, Aves, Galliformes, Phasianidae.
GCUGUAGUUAUGUGUCUUUGAAUGGAUUCUUUGCGUGAUGAAAAAUCUACUCUUUCAGAAAUAGCAAGGUGAACUGUGAAUGACAGUGUAACAAGAAAAGGACUGAAGUCCAUUGCCAUUACAAAUAUAAAUGUCUUGCAUCCCCAGUCCGAAGAAGCAGACUCCUGCCAUCAAGUGGGUGGGAAAAUAUUUCAUUUUUCCAAAGAGAAAGUGAUUCUGAAAAAUUGCUUCCUUAUUAGUUUCUUAAGCCAACGCUGGAUCUUUAGUGCUAUGCAUUGAACAAAAUAUCUGCUCUCUAGGGACUUUGACAUCCUUGCAUAUAAUGUAAUGUGCUAUGAAGAGAGGACAUCCAGACCAACGUCAUGAUCUCAUGAUACUUCACCGGGAAAUGGAGAGUCUGCUCUGGAGCUUUGUUACAGAGGUUGCUUAGGAAAAGCUGGCAGAUUUAGUAGACCACAGAUUUCUCACCCUACCUACUUGGAUCUGUGGCUGCUUUUAGAGAUUUAAUUUCUUCGGAGGGAACAGACCUUCACACAGAAGCUGCUAAAUGGAGCAUUUGUAUCGUUGUUUCUAUUAGACGUUUGAAGCUAAAGGAAAACAGUAUACAGACAAGAGCAAAACACUGAGUCUCUGAGGAUGUCUUCAGUUACUUCUUAGCUUUUAUUAAUUCUGAAAACGGGGCUAUGCAGUCCUGUUAACAUAACUUUUGGUUAAAAUUUAUCCUGUAUGUAGGACCAGUCAUACUCCAGGUAUUCUGAAAAAAUGAAGAAUAAGAAAAAAACUAGGAAACAAGCUUCUGCCAUUUCCAGUACAAGAGUGCACUCUCCAACAAUCUUGGGACUGCCCCCUCUGCUUCCAUUUGUCCCACGGCAACAACAUGUAAAGGAAUAUUGGUGAGAAUCUCUACUGCCAUACCCCAACAUCUGCUUCUGACACUGUGGGCCAACAUCAUAAAAUAGAAGAAAAAAAAAAAUAACACAAGUGAAGAGAGAACACAUGGAACAUCUUGAAAACGACCUGGAGUUCUGUGUCCAGAUGUGUCCUUGGUACAGAAGAGACACAGACCGUUUGGAGUGCAUGCAGAGGAGGGCCACAAAAAUGAUCCAAAGGAUGGAACAGUUCUCCUAUGAGGACAAGCUGAGAAAGCUGGAGCUGUUCAGCCUGGAGAAGAGAAGGGUCCAAUGUGUCCUAAUAGCGUCCUUUCAGUAUGCUACAGGGGACCUACAGGAAAGAAGGGGACAGACUCUUCAGCAGUAUCUGUGGUGGUAGGACAAAGGGAAAUGGUUUCAAGCUCAAAGAGGAUAGAUUUAGGUUGGAUGUACGGAAAAACUCUUUUAUAGUGGGGGUGAUGAGGCACUGGAACAGGUAGGUUGCUAUUAUCUCACAAGCCGUAUCUUCCACCUGUAAACACUCUUGGUCUUUCAAAUGUAAAACUGUCCACUAAGUGAUGUUGAUUGCCACUUGGUGACACCCAUCACUCACCUCAUAAUCAGUCUUAUUGCAAGAAAUCUCAAAAAGCAAGCUUGGAGCCAAGAAAAAAGAAGGGUAUAGACAGGAAGCUAGGUUCCUAGUAUUUUAAGGACAUAAAGUGAGGUGACAUUAAUUUUGAUCUUCUCCUCUACAUGAUGCAGAUUUUUUAAAAUAUCUGCUAAAGAGAGAAAUGUUUAUCUUUCCACAUGACAAAGUGAUUUUAAUUCAUCAAUUAUGCUCACACAGUUCAAGCUUCAAAAUGCUCAUAAUUACAAAGGGACCAAAACAUAGUAUAUUUAAUGUGCAGAUUUGGGAAUAUUAUUAAUUAAAAAUCCCUACUGCACAUGGCAAGCAAAUACAUUUAGGGAGUCAGAUAAGAAUUAAAACCAUUGGAAACUGCCAGUGGAAAUCAAUAAAGCAUAUGCAAUAUGUAUUUUUCAAUAUUCAAUCACUUUCAAAUCCUUAAUGAGGUGGUUUGCUUCUCAGUUGCUUUACACAUAAAUGUAUCAAAACCUAAACCCUUAAUUGCUCCUUAAAUUAUAUAAAAGCUUUGUAUUUACGAAACAGAAGAUGACAAGAUACCUUGUGGAAAAAUCUGGACACUCUUUGUUUAAUGAAGACUUUGAAGAAAAUCACCACAUCAAUAAGACAAGAAGAGCACUGAGACAUCUUGGAAACAACAGGAGGACAGGACUGACAUCAGAUAACAAAUAAAUUCACAAGUAAAUAACAAA